This 1458-nucleotide ribosomal RNA is filed under the name Staphylococcus roterodami. Its description in RNAcentral is "bacterial SSU rRNA". It matches the Rfam family "Bacterial small subunit ribosomal RNA". Lineage: Bacteria; Bacillati; Bacillota; Bacilli; Caryophanales; Staphylococcaceae. The record is from RNAcentral.
CCCUUUGGGGGGGCCUAUACUGCAGUCGAGCGAACGGACGAGAAGCUUGCUUCUCUGAUGUUAGCGGCGGACGGGUGAGUAACACGUGGAUAACCUACCUAUAAGACUGGGAUAACUUCGGGAAACCGGAGCUAAUACCGGAUAAUAUUUUGAACCGCAUGGUUCAAAAGUGAAAGACGGUCUUGCUGUCACUUAUAGAUGGAUCCGCGCUGCAUUAGCUAGUUGGUAAGGUAACGGCUUACCAAGGCAACGAUGCAUAGCCGACCUGAGAGGGUGAUCGGCCACACUGGAACUGAGACACGGUCCAGACUCCUACGGGAGGCAGCAGUAGGGAAUCUUCCGCAAUGGGCGAAAGCCUGACGGAGCAACGCCGCGUGAGUGAUGAAGGUCUUCGGAUCGUAAAACUCUGUUAUUAGGGAAGAACAUAUGUGUAAGUAACUGUGCACAUCUUGACGGUACCUAAUCAGAAAGGCCACGGCUAACUACGUGCCAGCAGCCGCGGUAAUACGUAGGUGGCAAGCGUUAUCCGGAAUUAUUGGGCGUAAAGCGCGCGUAGGCGGUUUUUUAAGUCUGAUGUGAAAGCCCACGGCUCAACCGUGGAGGGUCAUUGGAAACUGGAAAACUUGAGUGCAGAAGAGGAAAGUGGAAUUCCAUGUGUAGCGGUGAAAUGCGCAGAGAUAUGGAGGAACACCAGUGGCGAAGGCGACUUUCUGGUCUGUAACUGACGCUGAUGUGCGAAAGCGUGGGGAUCAAACAGGAUUAGAUACCCUGGUAGUCCACGCCGUAAACGAUGAGUGCUAAGUGUUAGGGGGUUUCCGCCCCUUAGUGCUGCAGCUAACGCAUUAAGCACUCCGCCUGGGGAGUACGACCGCAAGGUUGAAACUCAAAGGAAUUGACGGGGACCCGCACAAGCGGUGGAGCAUGUGGUUUAAUUCGAAGCAACGCGAAGAACCUUACCAAAUCUUGACAUCCUUUGACAACUCUAGAGAUAGAGCCUUCCCCUUCGGGGGACAAAGUGACAGGUGGUGCAUGGUUGUCGUCAGCUCGUGUCGUGAGAUGUUGGGUUAAGUCCCGCAACGAGCCGCAACCCUUAAGCUUAGUUGCCAUCAUUAAGUUGGGCACUCUAAGUUGACUGCCGGUGACAAACCGGAGGAAGGUGGGGAUGACGUCAAAUCAUCAUGCCCCUUAUGAUUUGGGCUACACACGUGCUACAAUGGACAAUACAAAGGGCAGCGAAACCGCGAGGUCAAGCAAAUCCCAUAAAGUUGUUCUCAGUUCGGAUUGUAGUCUGCAACUCGACUACAUGAAGCUGGAAUCGCUAGUAAUCGUAGAUCAGCAUGCUACGGUGAAUACGUUCCCGGGUCUUGUACACACCGCCCGUCACACCACGAGAGUUUGUAACACCCGAAGCCGGUGGAGUAACCUUGUAGGAGCUAGCCGCCGAACGUGCCCAAAGUU